Molecule: ribosomal RNA, 859 nt
Filed under: Sulcosporium thailandicum
Lineage: Eukaryota; Fungi; Ascomycota; Dothideomycetes; Pleosporales; Halotthiaceae
Description: SSU rRNA
Rfam family: Eukaryotic small subunit ribosomal RNA
Source: RNAcentral
UGAAAACCCCGACUUCGGAAGGGGUGUAUUUAUUAGAUAAAAAACCAACGCCCUUCGGGGCUCCUUGGUGAUUCAUGAUAACUUAACGGAUCGCAUGGCCUUGCGCCGGCGACGGUUCAUUCAAAUUUCUGCCCUAUCAACUUUCGAUGGUAAGGUAUUGGCUUACCAUGGUUUCAACGGGUAACGGGGAAUUAGGGUUCGAUUCCGGAGAGGGAGCCUGAGAAACGGCUACCACAUCCAAGGAAGGCAGCAGGCGCGCAAAUUACCCAAUCCCGACGCGGGGAGGUAGUGACAAUAAAUACUGAUACAGGGCUCUUUUGGGUCUUGUAAUCGGAAUGAGUACAAUUUAAACCCCUUAACGAGGAACAAUUGGAGGGCAAGUCUGGUGCCAGCAGCCGCGGUAAUUCCAGCUCCAAUAGCGUAUAUUAAAGUUGUUGCAGUUAAAAAGCUCGUAGUUGAACCUUGGGCCUGGCUGGCCGGUCCGCCUCACCGCGUGCACUGGUCCGGCCGGGCCUUUCCUUCUGGAGAGCCCCAUGCCCUUCAUUGGGCGUGCGGGGGAACCAGGACUUUUACUUUGAAAAAAUUAGAGUGUUCAAAGCAGGCCUUUGCUCGAAUACGUUAGCAUGGAAUAAUAGAAUAGGACGUGCGAUCCUAUUUUGUUGGUUUCUAGGACCGCCGUAAUGAUUAAUAGGGACAGUCGGGGGCAUCAGUAUUCAAUAGUCAGAGGUGAAAUUCUUGGAUUUAUUGAAGACUAACUACUGCGAAAGCAUUUGCCAAGGAUGUUUUCAUUAAUCAGUGAACGAAAGUUAGGGGAUCGAAGACGAUCAGAUACCGUCGUAGUCUUAACCGUAAACUAUGC